This 438-nucleotide ribosomal RNA is filed under the name uncultured bacterium. Its description in RNAcentral is "partial 16S ribosomal RNA". It matches the Rfam family "Bacterial small subunit ribosomal RNA", at positions 339 to 795 of the family's 1533-position model. The record is from RNAcentral.
CUACGGGUGGCAGCAGUGAGGAAUAUUGCACAAUGGAGGAAACUCUGAUGCAGCAACGCCGCGUGGAGGAUGACGCAUUUCGGUGUGUAAACUCCUUUUAUAUGUCAAGAAAAUGACGGUAGCAUAUGAAUAAGCUCCGGCUAACUCCGUGCCAGCAGCCGCGGUAAUACGGAGGGAGCAAGCGUUACUCGGAAUCACUGGGCGUAAAGGACGCGUAGGCGGGAUAGAAAGUCAGGUGUGAAAUCCUAUGGCUCAACCAUAGAACUGCACUUGAAACUUCUAACCUAGAGUACGGGAGGGGAAGAUGGAAUUAGUGGUGUAGGGGUAAAAUCCGUAGAUAUCACUAGGAAUACCAAAAGCGAAGGCGAUCUUCUGGAACAAUACUGACGCUAAGGCGUGAAAGCGUGGGGAGCAAACAGGAUUAGAUACCGCGUAGUC